CCCACCCACUUCUUACUCGUCUGGCUGCGGUGAUAUACCUAUACUACUAAGUCAAACUUAUCUCUAACUGUAUCAAGUCAGUAGCUUCCAUGGACCCAACUGAGAAUCAGAAGACAUGUUCUCCUCAAACACAAUAAUAAAAUAGGUCCAUCGAUACCAAAAGAUCACACGAAACAUGUUCAAGUCAGCAGGCAAGAUUCCUCUCCUCAACUCGAACUGAUUUCUUCUGAAGCAGAGGCAAGGAGCUUUGGAAUCAAGGAAGCCCAUGGAAACUUUUCUAGAUCUAAUCAUCCUACAAGGCUAGCUAUUUCUGAAUUCGGAGUGUUCGAUUGCUAUGAAGGGAUAGAUUAAUAAUAAAGUAAGGGGGUUAUGUUCAUGGGACAGAGGUGGUGCAGGUGGCAACGCAAACAUGGAUGGAAAAAUUUGAUGUGGAUUCAAUCACCUUCGGGUCGGCAAUACUGCUACUUUUGAAUUUUCUUGGGUUUUACCAAAGAAGUACUUCAGAUAUGGAGGCUAUUGGUGUGAGAGUACUUCAUAUGGAGGCUACUGGUGGGAGAGUACUUAGGAUAUAGAGGCUACUGGUGGGAGAGUACUUCAGAUAUGGAGGUACUGUUUGGCAAUGGGUAAUGGGAGGAUUGUUAGGAUGGCUUUGAUUCUGAGAUUUUGUGAUUUUUCCCCUAUUUAUAUGGAGGGACAAUAUCAAGGGGCUCUGCCACAAAACCAUCGAUGGAACAGUAAUAUUGUUGGGAACUAUGACUCAGCACUUUUGAAAUAUUUUGAUUAUUGUCUAUUGUCUCUCUCUUUGGCACGACAACAGUAUUAGCAGAGAGAAAAUUUUUGGACAAGGAAUAAGGUUGGUAUUUGUUCGGCGCUGUAUAUAUUUGAUUCGGGCUAAAUUGGUUGGGGCCAAGAUACACGCGUCUUAUAUGAGCUCCGAUUAUUCAAGAUGUUUACUCGUGACACUUUUGGCAACAACCCAC
Molecule: long non-coding RNA, 980 nt
Filed under: Panax ginseng (ginseng)
Lineage: Eukaryota; Viridiplantae; Streptophyta; Magnoliopsida; Apiales; Araliaceae
Description: long non-coding RNA (PGIN_LNC002737)
Source: RNAcentral